GACGAACGCUGGCGGCGUGCUUAACACAUGCAAGUCGAACGGACAGGCCCUGCUUUUGUGGGUUUCCUGAGUGGCGAACGGGUGAGUAACACGUGAGUAACCUGCCCUUGUCUUUGGGAUAACUUCAGGAAACAGGGGCUCUUACCGGAUAGGAGCUCCUGCUGCAUGGUGUGGGUUGGAAAGUUUCGGCGGUUGGGGAUGGACUCGCGGCUUAUCAGCUUGAUGGUGAGGUAGUGACUUACCAAGGCUUUGACGGGUAGCCGGCCUGGGAGGGGGACCGGCCACAAUGGGACUGAGAUACGGCCCAGACUGCAACGGUAGGCAGCAGUGGAAAAUAUUACACAAUAGGCGGAAGCCUGAGGCGGCAACGCCGCGUGCGGGAUGACGGCCUUCGAGUGGUAAACCGAUUUCGCCUGUGACGAAGCGUGAGUGACGGUAAUGGGUAAAGAAGCACCGGCUAACUACGUG
This 468-nucleotide ribosomal RNA is filed under the name uncultured bacterium. RNAcentral describes it as "partial 16S ribosomal RNA". It matches the Rfam family "Bacterial small subunit ribosomal RNA", at positions 28 to 507 of the family's 1533-position model. The record is from RNAcentral.